RNAcentral lists this ribosomal RNA (1529 nucleotides) under uncultured bacterium. Its description in RNAcentral is "bacterial SSU rRNA". It matches the Rfam family "Bacterial small subunit ribosomal RNA". The record is from RNAcentral.
AGAGUUUGAUCAUGGCUCAGAACGAACGCUGGCGGCGCGCCUAAUACAUGCAAGUCGAGCGAGAAGGUGUAGCAAUACACUUGUAAAGCGGCGAACGGGUGAGGAAUGCAUGGGUAACCUACCCUCGAGUGGGGAAUAACUAGCCGAAAGGUUAGCUAAUACCGCAUACGUUUCCGGAACUUCGGUUUCGGAAAGAAAGCAAUACCGUGGGUAUUGCGCUCCUGGAUGGGCUCAUGUCCUAUCAGCUUGUUGGUGAGGUAACGGCUCACCAAGGCUUCGACGGGUAGCUGGUCUGAGAGGACGAUCAGCCACACUGGCACUGCGACACGGGCCAGACUCCUACGGGAGGCAGCAGUAAGGAAUAUUGCGCAAUGGACGAAAGUCUGACGCAGCGACGCCGCGUGGGGGAUGAAGGUCUUCGGAUUGUAAACCCCUUUCGGGAGGGAAGAUGGAGUGGGUAACCACUUGGACGGUACCUCCAGAAGCAGCCACGGCUAACUUCGUGCCAGCAGCCGCGGUAAUACGAAGGUGGCAAGCGUUGUUCGGAUUCACUGGGCGUACAGGGAGCGUAGGCGGUUGGGUAAGCCCUCCGUGAAAUCUCCGGGCCUAACCCGGAAAGUGCAGAGGGGACUGCUCAGCUAGAGGAUGGGAGAGGAGCGCGGAAUUCCCGGUGUAGCGGUGAAAUGCGUAGAGAUCGGGAGGAAGGCCGGUGGCGAAGGCGGCGCUCUGGAACAUUUCUGACGCUGAGGCUCGAAAGCGUGGGGAGCAAACAGGAUUAGAUACCCUGGUAGUCCACGCCUUAAACUAUGGAUACUAAGUGUCGGCGGUUUACCGCCGGUGCCGCAGCUAACGCAAUAAGUAUCCCGCCUGGGAAGUACGGCCGCAAGGUUGAAACUCAAAGGAAUUGACGGGGGCCCGCACAAGCGGUGGAGCAUGUGGUUUAAUUCGACGCAACGCGAAGAACCUUACCCAGGCUGGACAUGCAGGCAGUAGAAGGGUGAAAGCCUAACGAGGUAGAAAUACCAUCCUGCUCAGGUGCUGCAUGGCUGUCGUCAGCUCGUGCCGUGAGAUGUUGGGUUAAGUCCCGCAACGAGCGCAACCCUCGUCUUUAGUCGCCAUCAUUUAGUUGGGCACUCUAAAGAAACCGCCGGUGAUAAGCCGGAGGAAGGUGGGGAUGACGUCAAGUCCUCAUGGCCCUUACACGCUGGGCUACACACGUGCUACAAUGGCGGUGACAGUGAGCAGCUAGAUCGCGAGAUCAUGCUAAUCUCAAAAAGCCGUCUCAGUUCGGAUUGUUCUCUGCAACUCGAGAGCAUGAAGGCGGAAUCGCUAGUAAUCGCGGAUCAGCAUGCCGCGGUGAAUACGUUCCCAGGCCUUGUACACACCGCCCGUCACACCAUGGGAGUUGGAUUCACCCGAAGGCGCUGCGCUAACCCGCAAGGGAGGCAGGCGACCACGGUGGGUUCAGCGACUGGGGUGAAGUCGUAACAAGGUAGCCGUAGGGGAACCUGCGGCUGGAUCACCUCCUU